This 45-nucleotide non-coding RNA is filed under the name Schistosoma mattheei. The record is from RNAcentral. Lineage: Eukaryota; Metazoa; Platyhelminthes; Trematoda; Strigeidida; Schistosomatidae.
GUCCAGCAGAAAAGUCUCAAAUAUGACGAAACGUGAGUCCUGGAU